Long non-coding RNA from Scylla paramamosain (green mud crab), 2036 nucleotides. RefSeq lists it as uncharacterized. The transcript is spliced from 3 exons. NCBI's taxonomy places the organism in Eukaryota, Metazoa, Arthropoda, Malacostraca, Decapoda, Portunidae. The record is from RefSeq and is a predicted model, not a curated record.
CUUUGUUGCCUGUCUUUAUGGAUUCAUUAAUUAUUAUACUUAGCAUGUGAAAGAGAAUCCUAAUAAGUCAGAUUAACCGCGGUAGGGGAUGAGGUUUCUUUUAGUCAAAGAGAUGAACGACAUUCAGGUGCGUUUGUUACUUGGAAAUUAGUAAGGCCUAUAGUGUUUUUUUUUUUCAUUAAAGAUAGGUUUGUUCUAUGGUUUUCACGGGGUUACAAGUGGUGCACUCUAUUUUUUCUCUCUCUUGAAUAAGAAACAACGUCUAAUAUGCGGGUACUGAGAAUCAGUAUUUUACAAGUUUAUCCUCAAAUCGUGGACACCUGUUUUCUUUCACAAAAAAGUUUCAAGUGCUUCGACUCAUAGCGUUGGUCGUUGUGAAUUUACCAAAUCUCUCACUCACGAAUUAACAUAAAAGAAGUACAGCCUCCAGCCAGCAGCGAGCACAGGAACACCUCCGCGAUAAGUCUUGCCUGUGAGGUGCCGCCAGCCGCCGUCAGCCUGCCUCCUCAUUUGGAAGGAAUGAUUCGAGCGCACUGAAGCUGUGUUUGUUUGGUGCUUCACAAGCGGGAUCCUCGCCGCCUUCCGCCAUUGUGUGGGUGUGCUGAGCGGCGGGCGGGUGUUUACAGUGUGUUUCCUCGGUAAUCUGGCCAAGUUCAUCGACCAAUUCCGGACUAAGUGGCUGUGUUUACAGUAGUGGGUGAUGGGCUCCCGGCGCGCGGCGAGACAACAUCAGAAGACUGGAGGGGAAACUUAAGAGGAAAAAGUAGAAUAUCCCCAGGCAGAGGAAGAGGAUGAUGGGAGGAGGAGCAUAAUGAGCACUGCGGCCACUCACCUGACAGUACAUCUGAGUAGAGAUGAAGCCUCACAGCGCAGAGCAACAGUUCAGAAAACUCGUCACUGUGGGUCUGCUCUCAACAUUUCCAUAACUUCGGGUUGGCUUUUUGUCUGAAAUUCCCGCCCCUCUGCGUUCCCGCCCCCUGUCACUGGCAGAAAUAUUGGCAGUGACCGCGGCAGCAGCACCACAACGGGAAAUUUAUGGAACUCCACGGAGCCCGCGACACUCCUUUCACUGUCUGGCUGCGAGUCUUGGGGGACUCCACUAUUCCUCCGCUGUAGCAGGGGAGGGGGAGCUCUUAGAGUUUUCACGUUUCUUUCUUUCUUUUGUGGCACUUUAUUUUUAUUUAUUUUUUUUUUUUUUGUCUGUGUGUGGAUGGAGGAGAUGGAGGAAAAAGGAAGAGGAGGAGAAGGAGGAGAAAUACACACACACACACACACACACACACACACACACACACACACACACACACACACACACACACAAAAAAAGAGAGAGAGAGAGAGAGAGAGAGAGAGAGAGAGAGAGAGAGAGAGAGAGAGAGAGAGAGAGAGAGAGAGAGAGAGAGAGAGAAUUGUUUUUCCCUCGUGCAAAUAUGGAAAAUAAAAAGGAAACGUUGCGUAGGUGAGGGGCUGCCGGAUGUGUUAGUGAGGAAGGCGCAGGGCAGGUGUGGCGUGGCGGGGUGGCGGCAGGCGAGGUAACGGGGCGGCGGCGGAAAUGAUGUGACGAAGUUAGCGAAGGACUCUGAGGAUGGCCCACGCGUGCAGCUCAUUAAGGGGGCAUCUGGUGCUGGCAAAUCCUUCCCUGAUAUCUGAUAGGAAUUUUUUUUUUUUUUAAGUUUCAUCUUGACGUAAUAAUCGUAAGUAGACGAAUGUGCUUGCCAUUCACAUACAUACAUACAUACAUACGAAUACAUAGUGCCUGGGGUAAAAUUUCCCUUGGUAUCUGAUAGGAAUUUGUUUUUCAUUUUCUAGUUUCCUCUUAGCAUAAUCGUAAACAGAUGCAUGUGCUUACCAUUCACACAUACAUACAUACAUACAUACAUACAUACAUAGAUACACAUCUAAAUGCAAACAUACAUAUGCACGAUGGUUACAUAAACAUCAAUCAUGGAUCCUUUAAUUUGUAUUGUUGUCAAUUUCCAAUGACUUCCAGUGUGAUUUUCAGUGUUUCUUGUUUUCCAUUACAUAAACUGAUGCAU